UCCUGCCUCAGCCUCCGAGCCCCUGGGAUGACAGGCGUGGGCCACCGUGCCUGGCCUCCCCAGGGAUUCUGACAUGAGCUGUGGCUGAGCCCCUGCCAAGGAGCAGCCAAGGCUCCAUCCCAGAGUUCACCCCACCCAGGGAGGGAAGCACAAAUAAUGGUUCUGAGCGGCUGGCUGGACGCCCGCUGGUCUUCUGCCUCCAGAACAGGCCCUGCCACCCCUGACCUGCAUUGGGAAGGGCCAGGAGAUGACCCUGAGCCAGUCRGAGCCUGUCUCCUGAGAAAUGAGGCAGGACGCCGGACCUGGACAUCCCACUUUCCCCCUCAUCCGUCUCAGCAACCUGGAACCCACUGUUCUGCACAGAAGCCUGAGGAGGGCUGACCUUGUCUGCAGACCCCAGAAGGGAAUCUCCCCAUGGAGCCGGGCGCGCCUGGUGUGGGCUGGUUGGUGCUUCGCGGUCUGCCCCCAUCUCCUGCAGYGAGGGGGCCUGGAGUGAGCCCCGGCCUAGCUCCACCUGGCCCCAUGGAGGACAGCAGAGAGGAGCAGGGCCAAGGGCAUUCAAGGGACUCAGCCAGCACUGCUGAGCCAAGUACCUUCAGAUUCCUGACCCAGAAACCAUGAURUAUCUUCUGUUUUAGGACAACUUGUCAUGGUCAUCAGGUAACUAAUACACGCUGGGGGCAGUUUCUCAAGAGUUGGGGUGUAAUACCCAAAGGGUUGUUCUGCCCUCUAGCCCGACUGUGUCCCCUGAYCCAAUAUGGAGAAAGGGGAAGAGAUGAGACACGGACCUGGACGUUGUUUUUUCCCUUCAUUUAAUUAACACUUUACAAAGUACAAAAUAUACUGUCUUUUGGGGAACAUUAGGUACUCUUUUCUCUCCGCCAUACAGUACAUGAAUCUCGAGGGUUUUGUGUUUCUUUGACAAAGAAAGUAAGCGUGAGGCCCCAGGGCUGGGGCGGGGCUUCCAGUUCUCCCCUCCGCCCAGGCCUCUGGGUGGACAAAGUGCCACUGCUGGUAACCCGGGCACAACAGGCCAGGUGCAGCCCAGAAGGGGCUGUGGGCAGGACGCCCAGCUCCCCAGCGAGGCUCCCCAGUGAGGCCCGGGGUGGAGGCCCAGGGUGGAGGCCAGCAGCGCCCCCCCCCAUGCCCACUCG
RNAcentral lists this long non-coding RNA (1154 nucleotides) under Urocitellus parryii (Arctic ground squirrel). RNAcentral describes it as "lncRNA (ENSUPAG00010004950.1)". Lineage: Eukaryota; Metazoa; Chordata; Mammalia; Rodentia; Sciuridae. The record is from RNAcentral.